Potamilus streckersoni is the source of this 78-nucleotide non-coding RNA. The record is from the annotation of a GenBank genome assembly. NCBI's taxonomy places the organism in Eukaryota, Metazoa, Mollusca, Bivalvia, Unionida, Unionidae.
GCUCUGAUGGCCUAGUGGUUGGAGCGUCCACUAAGGAUGCGGGAGGUCGCGGGUUUGAACCCCGGCCUAGAAAUACCA